Molecule: long non-coding RNA, 977 nt
Organism: Elaeis guineensis (African oil palm)
Lineage: Eukaryota; Viridiplantae; Streptophyta; Magnoliopsida; Arecales; Arecaceae
Source: RefSeq, a predicted model, not a curated record
AACCACCAUUCGUUUAUCUCCGUCUCUUGCGUUGGAGCAAUGCCCCAUUCCCUCACAAGGUGGAGGCGAUGAUUAUCGAAACAAUAAAAAAAUUAAAAAAAUUUGAGGUGAUCCAGAUGAUACAGUCCAAGGAGGAUGAGGUGUACCUCCUGUCAUAAGAAAGGCCACAGGGGGCAGUUUCGAUACAGGGGUUCUGUCAUCUAGCCUACCCAGACGACAUCCAAUUAAUGAUUUAGAGGCACGUAUCAUUGCAUUUGAGAGGUCCCUGAUUAGUCACAGCUUUCACUUAGAGGACCCUCAAUCCAUCAAGGAUGUCGCAGCGAAGGAUGCACGAAUUCUUGCCUUCGAUGGAGGCUUUCGUGCAUCGAGAAGAUGCUCCACGAUAAAGGCUUGAUGCCACCAGAAGACAUUGUAGCCAUGAAAGCAGAUCCUAUCCAGGUGAGGAUAGAGCAUUUUUUUUGUACUUGAAGAACCCCAUCCGACUGACGUGGAUCCUGCUAUAUCUUGUAGCAGUGAAGCGAUGGAGAUCAAUUUCGUGGUUGAAGGGGAGUGCGAGAAAGAAGGUGCUGCCUCAAAACAUAUGUUCUCAUUAUGCAGGCAGGUAAAAAUGGAAGCUCGCGAGAGAAAGCCCAUGGAGAAGGGAAAGACCAUAUCAUUCCUUCCUAAGACCUACAAACAUGUAAGGAAGAAACACCAGAAGGAAAACAUAGGUGAAGGAAGCACAGCCUUACCCAUUAGCGAGAAUGAUGCAGAUGCUCAUUAGUGUUCAAUUUUGGAGUCUAUCACUAUUGUAUUGAUAGAGCUAAGUCAAGCAGUUAAGGAUCAAGGAGAUCCUUUCCCCUAGAGAGGUUUAGGAAUUUUUUGAUGUAUUAAUUAUGAAUCAUGUCGGUAAUUGUCUUUGUAUCGUGUGCUGGUAUGACAUAUGUUAAAUAUUCAAAAUACUUACUAAUUUUUUUUAUAUAUUUUAUCACUUUUAG